This 3630-nucleotide long non-coding RNA is filed under the name Canis lupus familiaris (dog). RNAcentral's name for it is "lncRNA (ENSCAFG00845016553.1)". The record is from RNAcentral. Lineage: Eukaryota; Metazoa; Chordata; Mammalia; Carnivora; Canidae.
AAAUGUUUCUGUCUCCCCAAAUGUAAAAUUUGAUUCUCAGACACUCGGGUGGGAAAUUCGAGGGCCUUCACUGGGCAGGAUGGUAACGUAAGUAAGUGGAAAACCUAGAUCACAGUGAAAAGCGUGUAGACGGUGGCAAACUGCCAAGUGCAUUCUUCUUUGAAUGGUGUUGAAAGCCAAAUACUUUAAAACGCAGUGCACACCGAACAAACUACUCCUGCAACGUGAAUUUGGCCCUGAAUACAACCAUGGGAACCCCGGGACUAGGUGGUCCCCAAGGCCCUGGCUGGGCUGCAUUUUCAGUAAAAAUGUAAUUGCAGUCACCAGGAGCCAGGCGAAGGAACUGAGACGUGAUGACAAGAUACCAAGUCACGAUCUGAAUUUCAGCUGUCAAAAAUAACUGGACAUUUAACGCACUGACCAAGGUAUGUUGGAAUUACGGGCAUUACUUGACAACAUUUGCCUUAUUUAUAUAUUACAAAUUAUAUAAUUUUAUAUGAUAUUGCUUACAUUUUUGAGUAGGUCAUAAUAUCAAUUCAAUUAUAAGUUACUUUCCCCACUUGAAAAAUGUGUUCUAAAAAUGCACAUUUGCAAAGUUUGGCUAGAAUAAAAAAAGAAGGAUAGCAAAGCAUACACAGCACCUUAAGUUCAGAAUGGUGAGACACGAGAUGGUCUUUGAUACUGAAUAUGUAAUAUUUUAAAAGACAUUUGGGACAACAUAUAAUGGACUGAUUAUGUGAAGAAGUUUAUAAUGUGGGAAAGUUUGGGAAUAUAUUAAGAUAUCGCCAUCACCCACCCUCACCCCUAACCUUUCUUGAGGAUAUUAAUCUCACGAUGAUAAUUUUUGAUCGGCGCUAAUUCACAACUGGUCUCUUCCGUCUUAAGCACAAUCUUAAAGAUGCCACAUAAAUGGGCUUCAAUGAGGGGAGAGACCUUCUAAAUUCCAUUCUCUAGGAGAUGGAGAAAUGUGUAAGGAAAUGACAUGAAUAAUAAUACUGUUAUACGAGAUCAUGAUAAUUAGAACAAAAGGCCAUAGAAUAUAUUUCAAAGACUCUUAAUUCUAGUGAGUUCCUAUAUACACCCAGGGAAAAAUCCAGAAUUUUUUCAUUCUUUUCAAAAUGAAUACAUAUGAAAAUGUCCUGAGUGACAAGAAACCUGCAAACAUGUCAAAAUAUGUGAAUAUUUCUGAAGCACAUCUGAAGUGAACAGGAGCGUACAUGAAUACAUCUUAAUGAAUAAUAUUUAACGCGUGAUGCUUAACACAGAGCUUGCGGCGCCUAGGAUAGUGCUUUGCAAUCGAGGCAUCGCAAUACAUUUAAGUGGUUGGUCCACGUAACAAACUUGUUGAGAACUGAUUAAUAAAUCAAUACUUCUUGCCUUGCCAACGCUAGUACUUAAUCUAUUGGAAAAGGAGGGCAGCCCACAGGAACAGGGCUUAGGCCAGGCAGAAAUUAUUGAUGUUUGCAUACUGGAGGAUGGGACUUAAAAUAUACUUGAAUUCAAAUUAUCCUGCGAAUCUAUUUCUCCGUACCCGAAGGCAAGUGGAAAAAUAGAGUGCCUUCAAGAGACAGGGAACACCAACAGCGCCUCCUUAUCAGUGUGGAUAGUUCCUAUGGAAUCACCAGUUCCUAUGGAAUCCCUAAUUUAGUAUCUAAACUAUAAAGGAAGUAUGUCUGGGGUUAGGAAAUUGGCAUUAUAAUAUUGACUGACUGUAUGACCUCAAAUUCCCCAGUCAUGUGUUUUUACUUCCACCGUCAGUAAAAAAGACAUAAUACUCUUAUGAGCUACAAAAAUGCUGACUAACGAAAUGUAAUGAACACAUUAGUGAUGCUUUCCGAAGUUCCAAAUGCCAUAUUAAAAGCGAUCAAAUGUCUAUUUACAUUAUGGGUUAAAUAUAUAAGCAUUCUAUAUUAAAAGUCUUUAAAUAUAUAAGUAGGGCAAAGGAGUUCUGUGGUUCAAUUGACAAAACAUACGUAUAUCAAAACGUCCUCAGCCAAUAAACGAUUUUAUACACAAUGGUUAUAUCUAAGGGAUAAUCUAAGAAGUGGAACGAGAAUUACACGGACGGUAAACUUUCUUCACUGCCCCUGACCCAUAUAACUUACCCAGACGUAUCCUGGAGCGCUCGUAAAAUAUCAGUUUACCUCUUAUUACAUGGAAUUAAAGCCUUAUCACAGAUACGAUGCGAUUAUAACAGAAAUCAUGACAAGGAGAGUGACCUUUCUCUUUGCUUAUAAGACACUGCAAAAUGAAGAUUUGUACAUUCUCACUUAAAAUCGUCAGGAGGAAUGUACUUAAGAGCUCAGAAGUAAGGUCAAGAUUAACAACAGGCUUAAUCUUUAAGUAUCUUUUUUAAAAUUGUACGUGCAAAGGACAUAAUAUGACCUAUGGAAAGACUGUACAGUUUGAUAAUCUCCUCAGGAUAAGUAGCAGGAUUACAUUCUGGAUCUUAGGGCUAAAGCAAUUAAUCAAUGUCACCAGCGCCCGAGGUACCUUUAGUCUAUAAGUAACUUCCCGUUCAUGAAAGAACACUGUAUUAGCAGUUAUAGGCUGUCUUAAAUCAUUCAAUAAUUUUGAAAGAUGUUAAAUCUUGUAAAAAUAUGACUUAAAAAAAUGUUCAGAAUAUCCAUUACUCAUCCACUAAUUGAAAAUAAUUGGAAUUUCUUUGGAAAAAUCAAAGUACCUUUUCCCUGGGUGGUUUUAAGUUGUGCUUUCCUCAAGUAAGAAAAAACGCUUGAAAUAUUGUCAAGAUUCCUUUAACGUACCACACAUAUCAAAACGCAAAAAAAAAGUGAUAUUUUUAAAGGCAAAAUUUGAAAUAUGUCAAAAUCAAAUAGACAAGAAAGUGAAAGGGGGCUCAUAAUGCCUAUCCUAUGAAACUGGGAUUAGAAAGUCACAACCACACAUUCUUACUGGAAAAUGUUCAAAAUGAAAUAUAUGUACAUUUAGUGUUUCUUCUUAAGAUUCCUAAUUCUGACAAGGUUCAGGUUCUGUUUUUAUCUCGUAGGACAAUUUAGCUUCCACUAAGUUUUCACAGCAUCCUAUGUGUUGUGAAGAAUACAUUUUUAGGUUAAGUCUCGAUAUUACUGAACCUAAAAACACUCAUUUAUGAAUAUGUUUAGAUCUCUCCCACGGUACUUAAAGACGGGCAUAACUCUCAUUCUCCCUAAUAACAAAAUCAUCAAAAGACAUGUACAAAAAACAAACAUAUGACAUAAAUCACCUUGUAAAGUAACAGCUUCAAACAGCGUUGGAGCAUAGAUGGAAGUCUAUGUGAUUUUACCCAGUACAAAUCUCUUUCACAGGAAAUAUAAAGUUGGGCAGCUUAAAAACACAAUCUGGAAGGAUAAGCUAUUAAGUCCCUGUAAGUCCUUUUACUCUGACUCAAAGAAAUAUGAUAAGAGCUAUUUCUAAUCCUUCUUACGCCAGUUUGUUGCUCCAACAUUUGCCCAUAUUUUGAUUUAUUCAUCUCGUGUAGGUAGCUGCUUUUUAAUACACAUCUUCACCCCAAACUUACACUGGCAAAUCUAGACUUCAACCUAGCUCCUGUCAACAUGAGUGAUAAGGCUCGGAUGGACUUCACACCCACAGCAAACAAAUCAGCUUAACUACACUGAACUAGUGUUAGAA